Molecule: long non-coding RNA, 1242 nt
Organism: Astatotilapia calliptera (eastern happy)
Lineage: Eukaryota; Metazoa; Chordata; Actinopteri; Cichliformes; Cichlidae
Source: Ensembl
AAAAAAUAGUUUACAAGUGCAGAUUUUUGUGAAUAAAGUCUGUUGUGGGGGUCCACCUGUGAGAUGGAGCCUUUCUAUGUGGUUUUGUCUUUAGGUACAAAGACAUGUAUUUUAUAUUAACUGGUGAUUCUUAAUUCAAUGGAUGUGAGAUAUGCAUAGUAUAAAUUAAUGAAUAAAAGUAUGGGUAAAUGUAGAAUGUAAUCUCAAACUUUCACAAUUUUUUAAUUAUAACACUUUGUACGCAAAGUGUGUACAGUCCAAGUUCAAUAGAAACAAAACUCAUAAAGUAUUUUCAGCUAUCAAGUUUCCAUUCAAAUCUUGCAGAAAUAGAGGGAUAUAGAUUGAAGCCAUGCUUUCAAACCCUGCCGUCAAAAUGUUGGAGCAGAAAUCAAGACUCGUCAAACAAACCAAAGGUUUUUAGAUCAUUCAGUGAUGACAAGUCUGUGUAAAUGGUACUCAUAGUCUCCUGUUCUUAGAACUGUCACUGACUGUAGUCUUCUGCUUCAAGUUGCCACGUGUUAUACAUGCAUAGUGUGCAUAUCUUGGUUGUAACAAAUGGUUAUUUGACUUAAUGCUGCCUUCUUGCCUUCCUACCCUGAAGCAGUCUGAAUAUUCUCCUCCGACCACUAGGAUCACAAAAUUUCUGUUCACUGGAUAUUUUCUCGUUUUCAGAUCAUUUUGAGUAAAGCCCAUAGAUGGUUUUGCAGGAAUGUGUCACAGCUGAGUAGCCGGUGUGUUGUGGUGUGGACCGAAAAGCAGAAUGCACAGGAGGUAGAACUAAGAAUGAAGCUACGACAUGAACCUGAACAGGAGCAUGCAAAAAUCAAGACGUGAGGAAACCAUAACAAGAGCAUGAAAAAACCUGAGACCUGAAGAGACAUGAAAAUCCAUGGACAUGAUGUAAUGGAGACCAGGGGUUCCAUUACCUGGUUGGUAUUGUUAAUAAUAAAUUGUUGGAUUGGGAAUUUAAAAUGCGGUAAUAAAGAAAACACAUUAGUUCUUAUGGAGUCUUUUAUUAGGUUAUUUGACAUACGAUUAAAUUGACAGCUUGUAACACAAAAGAGACAGUGGGACUGGCCAUCCUACCUGUGUCGGAGAAGAGCCAAAGUUAGAGCUGCUUGCAGUUAAUCAUUUAUCAAUAACCUAAACAUAUGCGAAAUGAGAACUUGUAAAGGUACUCACCUGUCCUAGUUGCUUCUUGCAGGAUGUGGAGCAAAAGAGUGAAAGCGGCUCAAUCACCUG